This is a long non-coding RNA of Gasterosteus aculeatus aculeatus (three-spined stickleback), 2364 nucleotides long. NCBI's taxonomy places the organism in Eukaryota, Metazoa, Chordata, Actinopteri, Perciformes, Gasterosteidae. The record is from Ensembl.
UCCUCUGUAAAUGACGGUGCUUAAAUGAUUAAACCAUUAAUAUACUUAGUAGUCAUUAGGCCUACCCUGAUUAGAUCCUCAAUCCCUGCCGAGGAAGGGAAUCAUCGGGACAUCUGUCUGGUACUUGGUGGGAAAUGGCUGAAAACUUCUUGAGACACUCAUGAAGAAGUGCAACUUUGCCAAGAUUAAAGGAUCAUCCGGGCUUCUGUGAUGGUGUCACAUGACGAUGACCUUGGAUUGGGGAGCUUCUUGGCUUUGACCUGAUCCACAUAGGUGACAAUAUAUGGCCACAUUUCAAUGGCUCUCUGCACUGCUGGAAGGUUUUCCAGCCAUUGAUGUCCACAACAUGGCAAAGGAAAUGUAUCACACUUGGUCCCUAACAAAGUCUUCUCUCCUUGCAGGAGCACAAUGAAACAGGUAGUGCAGGGCUUUCAGGACUUUCUCAACUUGCCACACCGCAAAACCGUUCUUGAACGAGUUGUGCAUCGUGUGAAGGCCACAACUCCCAAUUAUUUGUAGUUGGGCUCCACCACACUGCUCUCUGUGUUCCUCUUGCAAGAAUAUAGCAUAUUGUUCAGAUUCAGCUCCUUUCUACCUUUCACAUUGGGAAAAAAAAAAAAAAGAUCAAUUUAAUGUGCCAAGUAAUCCACAUUAUAUAAUAAUAAUAAUAAUGGUUGUGCUUAUAUAGCAGAGAGAUCAAAAACAUCCAUCAAAACCCCUGACACACACACACGAAUAUGUAUUCACAUAUUUACACCUAAACAAUAAAAUGCAAACAUACACAAACACACGCGAUAAUUAACGUUAAUCAUUAUAUAAUUAUAUGCGUGUGGCCUAUAAAUGCAAUGGUGAAUUUUGCACCGGUAGCAUACGAGCUUUAAACCGCACUAAGGUUACUCAAUUUUACAGCAAACACAAUGGUAACGUUACUUACAUUGAAAUGACCCAACAUGUCCUCAGCUCUGGAGCGACCCAUGAACUCCGACCCCUAGUAGCGGGAGAUGACGUGGGGUGUGCCAGUCUCAUCAUCAGUCGUCCAGAAUCGCAAAUGAAGGUCCAUUUGUUUGCUCUUUGUCCUUUUAUUCAUACGUGUGUCAAACAUGACAACAUAUGGUUUCUCACUAACGCUGCGCGAUAGCUGCUUUUUGAUGAAUGAGGCGAUGCCAUAUUUGGCGACAUAUGCCGUUUUCUUUUCACCACAGGUGAAUGACUUUGCAAGCUGUGAAUCGGGAACAUGGCAGCAAAGACGCCACGUAUGUCACCAUUAGAUUUAAAUGAAUUGUGCCUCGUCACAGUACCUCUGCCUUUUGGGUGUCUGGUGUUGAAAUGAAACCUGUUACAGCCGACUGAGAGGUGGCGUGUGAACUUGCAGGGAUUAACCUGGCCCCGCUAUGGCUACGGCUAUGGCUAUGGCUAGCUGCUGCAACGUAUCGCUGGUGCUUUCCUCCUUUCAUGUGCGACUCGACGGCUUUGAGCCCCACGGUCUGAAAAGGUCUUUUUGCAGAGUUUACACAUCGCCUCAUUGUUGUUUUCAACCGGCGCCGACCGCCUCCUAAACGCGUCCUCUUCCAUCCACUUGUCGUUAAAUUUGCGACACGCAGCCUGACGUCAGCGUCUGUAGCCGACGUACCGUAAACAGAUAUUCUAUUGCGGAGACGCAUUUAGCACAAUACUAGAUGAAUAUAUUAGAUGUUUUACGAUGCGCCACUGUGCUUUCUCAUCGGCAUUAAGCGCACCGGCAAAAAAAUUAAUACCUACAGCAACUUUAUGUGAAAUUUAAGACAAUUUAAGACCUUAAUUACCCAAAUUUUAAUUGAAGACUUUUUAAGGACCCGCAGGAACCCUGCAUCUGUAGCUCAACAGAAGUUGACUGAAGGCCUUUAACACUCCUGAUGCACCACAAUGCCAAGCCUUAUGGGGUAAGAGUAUGCAGGCAGUACCUGGAGGAUGACGGGCUGAAUGGACUUCCCUGCAACAUCAUUCUUCCCAUUGAUUUGAGGUGUUAAAUUAAGCCCCGUGUAGGCUGAAACUUUUAUUUCCAUCAAAAGAUGUGGCAUCCUUUCACUCCUCAGACAUUAAAUUCACAUUGAGAUCUUGAGUGUUCCUUUACCUUCUUUGAGCGAUGUAGAUAAGGCACAUUGGACGAUGAACUGUUUCAUAGCCUAGAACACGCGUGUCCCUCGCUGGCUUAGUACCCGUUUGGAAUGUUAAAGGCACUACAGAAUGUCCACUAGGAGUGUGCUCAUCCGGGUGGAACAGAGCACCGGGCCAUAGAGACAGAAAUAUGGCGUCAUGUAACAAGGUAUAAACAUGUUCUGUAGUAAAGGGAACCGUAAACGACUUCUGCUGUGAUCUGGGGCUUCA